GGCCAAUUCCUCCACCAUUUGGUAUGAUGAUCUGAACAGUAGUGAUUGACUUAUAAAUCACAUUCAUCUUUCAUUUCUAUUGCUUGCUAAAACAGUUGGUUGCUAUCUCAGGUCUUAACAAUGAAAGGAUAAAGCUGAGUACAUUUUAACUUUUCCUCCAGUUUUCUGGGACAUAUGGGACACUACAUAAUCUUAUACUGAGAUAGGCAAUAGCUAUCUCUCAUAGAUGAGUAUAAGGGGCUAUAUACAGAAAAGCAAGAAAUAUUACUUCUGCAGAUGUUUGUUGAAAAUCUGUUGAUAUGCACUGCAAUGGAUGGAAAGGUGGAUGAGACACAUGCCAUAACUUAAAAUUUUGUCACAGAUAUGAAAAUCCUAUAACAUAAAGUUUGUAAUCACCCAUAAUGGAAGCAUAAGGAGUAGGUUAUAGAAUAUAGAAAAGGAAAAGUCAAACCCUCCUUACCUUGAGAAAAGUCAGAGGGAAGUGUUAAAGAGGAGGAUUUAACAGUGACCUAAUAAAUGUUGCUGAUUUAAUUAGGUGGCUGUGGAAGGCCUUUUCCAGGAGGGCAUGCACCUUGAUUCUGAUGGCAUGUGUAAAGUCCAUGCUGAAAUACUUCAUGAAUUUUUAAUGGAUACAGUAAUAAAUAGUGGGAUUUCCUUUUAUCAAAAUUUCUUUGAUGUAGUAAAGUUCUUAUUUCAUAAUGUAUCAUCUUGUCAUGGUAAAUUAGUACUUCCAAAUAUAAAUGGAGCUCUUGUGAGAUAGAAAUAAUUCUGCAAUUAUAUAGUAGGGAAAGAAAAAAGACAAGCCUGGAGCUAGGUAGAGCCAUGUUUAAAUCCUUAAUAUGUUGCUUCAUGGCUGGUUGGCCAAAGGCUAUAACCUAAACUUGUUCCAUCUCAGUUUGCCUCAUCUGGCAAGUCAGGAUGUUCACCCGUUGAUGUUCUAGGUUUGGGAGAAAUUAAAGACUAUAUUAACAUACUUGAAAUCACCCUAGUUCAGAAAUUUCUGGGUAUUUACAUAACUUCCUUUUUAUUUUCCAGGUCCUGGUAUGCGUCCACCAAUAGGCUUCAGAGAAUAUGCACCAGGUGUUCCACCUGGAAAACGGGAUUUGCCUUUUGACCCUCGUGUUUUUUUUCCAGGACCCGCACCAUUUAGACCUUUAGGCUCAUUUGGCCCAAGAGAGUACUUCAUUCCUGGUGCCCCAUUACCACCUCCAACUCAUGGUCCCCAAGACUAUGGGCCACCACCUGUUGCAAAAGACUUAAUGCCUUCAGGCUUUAAAGAUGAACCUCCACCUUCACCUGAUUCUCAGAGUAGUGAGGGCUGUUCACAGGCCUUAAAACUGGGCCCAUAAAAUUAACCUCUGACACUUAGUCAGAAAGUGGAUUAUGAACUAUUAUUCAUUGUGUUAAAGGAUUAUUGGCUUCAAAAUAUAAAAGUUUAUUUUAAAUGGUUUAUGUUUUUAGAAUGAAGCUGCCUUGGUGCAGUACACAUUUUGAGCCAAAAUAUUUUCCCCCUAAAUAUCCCCCACUUAAGCUAGAGUAUCCUUCCAACUUUAAAACAUGCAAUAAGGAAUACCUUUGUUUUAGUUAAUGUAGCAUAUACAAUUGCUAAAUGAUUUAGAAUGUCAUAAUUAUGGACAUUUCCUCUGGAAAUGCUUUAAGAACAUGUAUUUCCAUUAUCCUAUUUUUAGUGUAUUCCAGUUGAUAGAGAAAUGGUGUUUUAUAAGCUUGAUUUUUCUCUUCCAGUAUCUGGUCACAGAGACUGUUAUGCUAAAAAUGUUUACUCAAAGAUCAUAAACUUCAUUUUCCUUCUUGCUGAAGUUCUUUGUUGUAAUAGUUCAUAAAAAAUUGUUUAUUAAUAUUUCCCAAGUGUCUGUUGAUUCAUUGGAUCGUCAUGAGACUUUGUGCCAUUGGGGAAGCAUGUAAACUCACUCUCAGAACUGAAGAUGGUGACUUGGCAGCAUAUUCCCUGUUGCUCACUGUUAAGGAGGCUGGACCUUGGUCAACUGUGGACUUCUACAGAGGAUUUCUUUUACUUGUGAGAAGACUUGUGGCUCUAUUUUUGUAGCACAGCACAUUCAUGUACUUUUUUCUAACCAUUGUCCAUGUGAGAAUGGUUUUCUUAGAAUGAGUUUACAUUAGUAGCAAGAGUUGUUUGACCUGAAGUUCUACUGCUUUUGCCAUUAUUGCAUGAUAACAGUAAAUAUAAGGUGGUAUGUUGUGUCUAUAAAAAAUAAGGAAAUUUCUUUUUAAAAAUGUACACACACACUCUUCUCUUUCCCAUACCUUGCCACUGAUUUUUCAAGGAAUAUGAUUAAAAAAAUUAGAAA
RNAcentral lists this long non-coding RNA (2327 nucleotides) under Marmota monax (woodchuck). The record is from RNAcentral. Lineage: Eukaryota; Metazoa; Chordata; Mammalia; Rodentia; Sciuridae.